GACCUGCUCUAUAUAUAAAGCGUCUUGAGAUAACUUCUGUUGUGAUUUGACGCUAUACAAAAAUAAAUUUAAUUGAAUUAAAUUGAAUAUUGUUUAAAGAUUAUUAAUUUUUGUACAUCCUAACUCAUUAAUCACUAUAUUAGCAUUGGAAAGACACUAUUGUCUACUAUGGUCUUGAAAAGGACUUGACUGGACCUGGUCUUGAACUUGACUUGGACUCAAUUAAGUUGGCCUGAUUUUACUGUCAUCAGGCCAUUAAAUAGACAUUAUCAGUCGCUUUAAGCACCAUUGAUGUGGGUCAUUAGGGGCCUACUACAACUACUAUGUUGUAACAACGUCACAUUUUGAACACAAACAAAAAGGCAUCUUUAGGUUUAGACAACAAAACUACAACUUAUUUAGGUUUAGGGCAAUACAAUUACAAGUUCUUUAGGUAUAGACAACAAAACUACAACUUCUUUAGGUUUAGACAACAAAAUUACAAAUUCUUUAGGUAUAG
This is a long non-coding RNA of Sebastes umbrosus (honeycomb rockfish), 499 nucleotides long. RefSeq lists it as uncharacterized. The transcript is spliced from 2 exons. The record is from RefSeq and is a predicted model, not a curated record. NCBI's taxonomy places the organism in Eukaryota, Metazoa, Chordata, Actinopteri, Perciformes, Sebastidae.